This 253-nucleotide ribosomal RNA is filed under the name uncultured bacterium. RNAcentral describes it as "partial 16S ribosomal RNA". It matches the Rfam family "Bacterial small subunit ribosomal RNA", at positions 524 to 776 of the family's 1533-position model. The record is from RNAcentral.
UACGUAGGUGGCGAGCGUUGUCCGGAUUUACUGGGCGUAAAGAGCGCGCAGGCGGUCGUUCAAGUCGCGUGUGAAAGCCCCCGGCUCAACUGGGGAGGGUCACGCGAUACUGAUCGACUCGAAGGCAGGAGAGGGAAGUGGAAUUCCCGGUGUAGUGGUGAAAUGCGUAGAUAUCGGGCGGAACACCAGCGGCGAAGGCGGCAUCCUGGCCCUGACCUGACGCUGAGGCGCGAGAGCGUGGGGAGCAAACCGG